RNAcentral lists this transfer-messenger RNA (357 nucleotides) under uncultured Treponema sp. It matches the Rfam family "transfer-messenger RNA". From Rfam's summary of the family: Bacterial tmRNA, also known as 10Sa RNA or SsrA, is named for its dual tRNA and mRNA-like properties. Its role is to liberate the mRNA from a stalled ribosome. To accomplish this part of the tmRNA is used as a reading frame that ends in a translation stop signal. Lineage: Bacteria; Pseudomonadati; Spirochaetota; Spirochaetia; Treponematales; Treponemataceae. The record is from RNAcentral.
GGGGGUGCACCGGUUUCGACGAUUUAGAUGAUGCUUUUAUUGCAGGUGAGGUUCGUUGCCUGUUCUCUAAACAGACAAAACAAUUUAACUGGCGAAGAUAAUUCACAGUUUGCUCUUGCUGCGUAAGCAGUUUUGAGCCGGUAUUUUAGUUGCGCCGCUUUGAGCAAUUAGAAUUACUGUCAUAAACCAAGGCUUGCUGCAUAUCGUGUUUGGUCUUUAUGCAGGACUUUUUAUCAAAAUACGGAGACGACGCUUGUAGUGCUGCUACCGUUUCCCGACAAUUACCUCGCACUAAUAAACCUGUAGACGUAACUGUGUCGCUUCUUCGGACGGGGGUUCAAUUCCCCCCAUCUCCAU